UACACCUAGCAUUAUAUCAAGUUUAUGUGAUCCAGUCCAGCUCGACGGGCGCGUCUCGUGGCUCGCAUGACCGGAUGUGUUCACACUACUAGUACUGUGAAGGCAGCGCGAGCGCGAGGUGUGAAGUGUGAACGGCGCUGCUGGCUCCAUGCCGCGACUAUCGUGGGCGCAUGCGCGCGUCUUUGUUCUGUUUUCUGAUGACGCCGCGGGGCGCGGAUGGCUACCACGCGUGGCCGCACAAGAAUCGACUCCCGGAGUCUCUCUCUUUUUUUUUUACGUUUGGAUGGGCCCCCUGUUUUUUUUCCUUCUCAUGACGCUCUUUUUCUUUGGUCAAACGAUGCUCGCGCCUUGCAACCAUGGUUUACCUGGACUGGCAAGUAAUCUAGUUUUGACGUAGUACUAGCUUUUACUCCGUAGUUGAGAGUGUAAAGCAACGUCUAAGAUUAUGUUGCCAACCAAGCAACGCCCGAAAUGCUAUAAACUGUAUUUUACGAGAGUAGUAGCUUCCUUUUGUGAUCAGCUAUUUAAAUUUGAUUUAGACAAGGAAGGGAGUAAUUAAAUUAAGUAGGGCCAACGGCAAAGACCAUUGAUGGCAUGCCAUUGUUUUCUCCCGCUAGUCAAUGCAUACCAAUAACGCUAGUCUUUUCCUGGCUGGAGUAACAAAUUGUUUAUUUUUGGCUUGCAUAUCCCUUUCAGAUUAGCCAAUGUAAAAACAGCUCUCCCGACUCAAAUGGUGCU
Molecule: long non-coding RNA, 738 nt
Filed under: Brachypodium distachyon (stiff brome)
Lineage: Eukaryota; Viridiplantae; Streptophyta; Magnoliopsida; Poales; Poaceae
Description: long non-coding RNA (BDIS_LNC000114)
Source: RNAcentral